This 253-nucleotide ribosomal RNA is filed under the name uncultured bacterium. RNAcentral's name for it is "partial 16S ribosomal RNA". It matches the Rfam family "Bacterial small subunit ribosomal RNA", at positions 524 to 776 of the family's 1533-position model. The record is from RNAcentral.
UACGAAGGGGGCUAGCGUUGCUCGGAAUCACUGGGCGUAAAGCGCACGUAGGCGGACUCUUAAGUCAGGGGUGAAAUCCUGGAGCUCAACUCCAGAACUGCCUUUGAUACUGGGAGUCUUGAGUUCGGGAGAGGUGAGUGGAACUGCGAGUGUAGAGGUGAAAUGCGUAGAUAUCUGGAGGAACACCGGUGGCGAAGGCGGCAUCCUGGACCGGUAUUGACGCUGAGGCGCGAAAGCCAGGGGAGCAAACGGG